RNAcentral lists this ribosomal RNA (586 nucleotides) under Azospirillum sp. Its description in RNAcentral is "bacterial SSU rRNA". It matches the Rfam family "Bacterial small subunit ribosomal RNA", at positions 51 to 685 of the family's 1533-position model. The record is from RNAcentral. Lineage: Bacteria; Pseudomonadati; Pseudomonadota; Alphaproteobacteria; Rhodospirillales; Azospirillaceae.
ACACAUGCAAGUCGAACGCACCUUCGGGUGAGUGGCGCACGGGUGAGUAACACGUGGGAAUGUAUCCUUUGGUUCGGAAUAACGUCUGGAAACGGACGCUAAUACCGGAUGAGCCCUGCGGGGGAAAGAUUUAUCGCCAAAGGAGCAGCCCGCGUCUGAUUAGGUAGUUGGUAGGGUAAUGGCCUACCAAGCCGACGAUCAGUAGCUGGUCUGAGAGGAUGAUCAGCCACACUGGGACUGAGACACGGCCCAGACUCCUACGGGAGGCAGCAGUGGGGAAUAUUGGACAAUGGGCGCAAGCCUGAUCCAGCCAUGCCGCGUGAGUGAUGAAGGCCUUCGGGUUGUAAAGCUCUUUCGCACGCGACGAUGAUGACGGUAGCGUGAGAAGAAGCCCCGGCUAACUUCGUGCCAGCAGCCGCGGUAAUACGAAGGGGGCUAGCGUUGUUCGGAAUUACUGGGCGUAAAGGGCGCGUAGGCGGUUUUUCAAGUCAGGCGUGAAAGCCCCGGGCUUAACCUGGGAACUGCGCUUGAGACUGUGAGACUAGAGUACCGGAGAGGUAGGUGGAAUUCCCAGUGUAGAGGUGAA